Molecule: long non-coding RNA, 781 nt
Organism: Equus quagga
Lineage: Eukaryota; Metazoa; Chordata; Mammalia; Perissodactyla; Equidae
Exons: 4
Source: RefSeq, a predicted model, not a curated record
GGGCGGCGGCGGCGGCGGCGGGAGCCUUAGGGAGGCGGCGGCUUCCUGGAGGGGGCGCACACUCUCUGAGGUCGCUCUUGACCCGACGCAAAGCCUCUUCGCUCUGUUUUUGCCUCUCAGCCCGGGGAGCGGGGGUCUUCUCUAUCCUACUCCAAGAGGACGCCGGUCGCCCUAGGAGCCCCCACCCCAUAGCUCCGAGCGGUCCUCACCUUGCAGAUGCCUGACCCCGCGAAGUCCCUAAUCCCAAGGACCCCCACACCCCUUUACCCAAGAAGUUCUGCCUUCCACGCAUCCCCGGGAGCUCCCCGUGUAAACGCUUCCCGAGUCUCCCUCACCCCUAACGCUCUGUCCCCGCAGCCCCUCUCGCCCCUUCACCCGAGGAGUCGCCCAGCCGCGACCCUGGGGACCCAGCCCCUUCCCUCCGACUGCUUCCUCUGCAGGCCUCGCCAUCACUUCCUAAAUAGCUUUGCCCUCCUUGAGACCCUGAGUCUUCGCGGGGCGGAGACCCUCCCUCCUCGGGUCCCUGGACCACUGGACGUCCCCUGCGAGCGGCGUGAGGGGAGGUCAUUACAGUGAAGACCCAGGAAGCAGGGCCUGGAGAGAAAAUUAAAGCUGUCAUUUGGAUUUCGUCGAGAAGGUGCGCCUCAGUAUCUGAUCCUGUUCAGAACUCAGCUCCAAUGAUUCUUCUGAGAAGCGUUCCCUCUUGCAUUCCACCAGACAGGGAGAAGAUGGCAGCAAAUGCCUCCAAAAGGGGUUCUCAAGGUUUGACAACCACCACAGG